RNAcentral lists this unclassified non-coding RNA (289 nucleotides) under Hevea brasiliensis (rubber tree). The record is from RNAcentral. Lineage: Eukaryota; Viridiplantae; Streptophyta; Magnoliopsida; Malpighiales; Euphorbiaceae.
UACGCAUAAUACGGAUAUAAGUCAAUCAUAAAAGGUGACUGAUUCUCUGCAAGGAAUUCCAACAUCGGUUUUAGAAAAAAGGCGUGACUACUGUUAAAUGCCCCUGCAGAAGGUGGGAACGAUCGGGAUAAUACGCCCAAUGAAUGGGUACUAGAGACUUUAAUCCUCCUAUGAAGACCAGCUUUUUUCAAAGCUGUAAACACAUUUUGCAUUGCAGGUACUACCAGAGCAGCUGUAGUAUUUGGGGCUUCCGUGAGUUCAGCACCAACAGUUAUGGAAGUGACUUUCG